Long non-coding RNA from Toxorhynchites rutilus septentrionalis, 1232 nucleotides. RefSeq lists it as uncharacterized. NCBI's taxonomy places the organism in Eukaryota, Metazoa, Arthropoda, Insecta, Diptera, Culicidae. The transcript has 3 exons. The record is from RefSeq and is a predicted model, not a curated record.
CGGUAAUAACAAACAGUGUUUUCAAGAUUUGCCCAGUUUAUAAUAAUACGAACGAAACGUGGAACAAACUGAAAGAGGAUUUCGAAUGGAGAAUGACCUAUGUUGGGGAGCCAAAUUGAGCCGUCAAAUUCUCAAACUCCGAUAGCUUCAUUUCCAGGCCCCAACAUCGAAGGGAAAAUUUCCUUUCCCCCACAUAAGACACAAACUCCGCUACCGUCGGCAAAAACAAAAAGUACACUUCCACUCAAAUUUCGACGACAAUCCAAAUGCGUAAACACUCAAAGUGCAAUCACAUAUGCUACCGACAUUCCUUCACAAACAAACAUAUCACAUCCGUGUAAUUCCAUUUCACAUUAAUUACAAUUCACAUGUAAAAACUCAAUUUAUAUUUACAUAUCACAACGUUUAGAUUUUACAUUAUAUUUACAGUUACAGGUAUUUCACCUCACAAAUUACAUCUAUUAAAUUAAAUGUCACCACUGGCGGACCAUCUCGGACUACUUUCGCUCCGCUAUUUACAAUUUUUGUUGUGCGUUGUUGUUGAUGUUGAUCCUACUCUGUGUCAUAUUUCACGAUCGCCAAUCUACGACGAAGUGAUGAAUAAUUCACCAACGUGACCGCUUCGUUCGUGAUGAGAUCCCAGAAGGAGAAAACGGCAAAUCACAUUGUUUUUUCCGUUUUCCUAUCGCACAUUUUAUUGUUCUCCAGCAGGCAGCCGUCUCGAUUAUGUAAUCGUGUGUACCAGGCCUGUAUUUGGGGAGCUCUUACUACUCAUAAACAAUUUAUGUAGGAUCAGCCGAAUCGGAAGAGUACAAUCAGGUUCUUGACACGAUCUAUGUUGGUCCGGUACCAGUGGGGAGACACAUUAUUUCAAGCAGACAUACAUUCCCAAUGUGACACGUAUUCCGGAGCUAGACGCAGUGACUCUUCACACUUGUUCAUAUUGUGGUCAAGGAUUCGCGCGAGCAGGUUACGUUAUAAAUAAUUAAUACUCAGAAAUAGAGAGAGAAUGGAAUGACCACUGAGUACAAUCCGGGUGAUGCUUGAAUUGAUGUUGCUUUAAACAUUGCCGGAAUCAUAACGGAACAGUAGAGAACAAUACAACAUUACUGUGAGAAUUUAGCAGAAAUUCGAACUCGUGACCGACGGAAUAUUGGACAUGAAUAUGUUUACUAGAAUGAUCCAUUUUUUCAAUUGUUUUAGAUUGAUGCGGAACCUAAAUAAAGUCUACU